Molecule: small nucleolar RNA, 125 nt
Organism: Peromyscus eremicus (cactus mouse)
Lineage: Eukaryota; Metazoa; Chordata; Mammalia; Rodentia; Cricetidae
Product: small nucleolar RNA SNORA11
Exons: 1
Source: RefSeq, a predicted model, not a curated record
CGGGUGUGCUCAGAGCAAAGGGCUUAAAGAAUGACUCCUCUGUUUACAACACAUCAACAGAAGUCUGGAGCCACUGUGAUAAGAAGCAAAACUGUGGCUUUGCUGUGAGCAAAUAUCCUACACAG